GUCGAGCGGAACGAGUUAUCUGAACCUUCGGGGAACGAUAACGGCGUCGAGCGGCGGACGGGUGAGUAAUGCCUAGGAAAUUGCCCUGAUGUGGGGGAUAACCAUUGGAAACGAUGGCUAAUACCGCAUGAUGCCUACGGGCCAAAGAGGGGGACCUUCGGGCCUCUCGCGUCAGGAUAUGCCUAGGUGGGAUUAGCUAGUUGGUGAGGUAAGGGCUCACCAAGGCGACGAUCCCUAGCUGGUCUGAGAGGAUGAUCAGCCACACUGGAACUGAGACACGGUCCAGACUCCUACGGGAGGCAGCAGUGGGGAAUAUUGCACAAUGGGCGCAAGCCUGAUGCAGCCAUGCCGCGUGUGUGAAGAAGGCCUUCGGGUUGUAAAGCACUUUCAGUCGUGAGGAAGGUAGUGUAGUUAAUAGCUGCAUUACUUGACGUUAGCGACAGAAGAAGCACCGGCUAACUCCGUGCCAGCAGCCGCGGUAAUACGGAGGGUGCGAGCGUUAAUCGGAAUUACUGGGCGUAAAGCGCAUGCAGGUGGUUUGUUAAGUCAGAUGUGAAAGCCCGGGGCUCAACCUCGGAAUAGCAUUUGAAACUGGCAGACUAGAGUACUGUAGAGGGGGGUAGAAUUUCAGGUGUAGCGGUGAAAUGCGUAGAGAUCUGAAGGAAUACCGGUGGCGAAGGCGGCCCCCUGGACAGAUACUGACACUCAGAUGCGAAAGCGUGGGGAGCAAACAGGAUUAGAUACUCUGGUAGUCCACGCCGUAAACGAUGUCUACUUGGAGGUUGUGGCCCUGAGCCGUGGCUUUCGGAGCUAACG
RNAcentral lists this ribosomal RNA (816 nucleotides) under Vibrio alginolyticus. Its description in RNAcentral is "bacterial SSU rRNA". It matches the Rfam family "Bacterial small subunit ribosomal RNA", at positions 61 to 857 of the family's 1533-position model. The record is from RNAcentral. Lineage: Bacteria; Pseudomonadati; Pseudomonadota; Gammaproteobacteria; Vibrionales; Vibrionaceae.